UUUCCGUAGGUGAACCUGCGGAAGGAUCAUUAAUAAAUUUUUUUUUGAAAUAAAAAAAAAAUAAUAAUCAUCCUACCCUUUGUGAAUUUGUUUUGUUGAAUAAUUUUUUAAAAUUAUUUAUUGUCUAUCCAAGUUGGAAAGUUGUAAAAAGACUCGAAGACUUGGGGCGGCAUAAAUAAAUUUAAAGACUUUUUUCUAAAAUUAAACUUUUUGUAUUCAUUUGUCUAAAAUAAUUUUUAUAAUAUAUAAAAACAACUUUUGACAAUGGAUCUCUUGGUUCUCGCAACGAUGAAGAACGCAGCAAAAUGCGAUAAGUAAUGUGAAUUGCAGAAUACGUGAAUCAUCGAAUCUUCGAACGCAUAUUGCACUUUUUUAGUUUACUAAAAAAGUAUGUCUGUUUGAGUAUCAGUAAAAUAUUCUCAUAAAAUUUUUUAAUUUUAUGGUUAUGAGUGUUUUACAACGAUAAACAAGUUGUUUCACUUUAAAUUGAAUUUUUUUGAAGAAAUUCUUUAAUUCAAAUUAAAUUUGGAUAAAAUUUCCCGUAAAAAGGAAUAACUAUACAAGUUUAAUAAGAAUUUAGUGAUUUCUUUUAUGAAAAGGAAAUUUAUUAAAUAACUUGAUCUCAAAUCAGAUGAGAGUACCCGCUGAACUUAAGCAUAUCAAUAAGCGGAGGAAAAGAAACUAACAAGGAUUCCCCUAGUAACGGCGAGUGAAGCGGGAAGAGCUCAAAUUUGAAAUCUUAAAGGGUUUCCCUUUACGAAUUGUAGUUUAAAGAAGUGAUUUCUGUUGAGGUUUUGGUAAAAGUUCUUUGGAAUAGGACAUCAUAGAGGGUGAGAAUCCCGUAUUUGACCUUUACUUUCAACUUUGUGAUACACUUUCAAAGAGUCGGAUUGUUUGGGAAUGCAGUCCAAAAUGGGUGGUAAAUUUCAUCUAAAGCUAAAUAUUGGCGAGAGACCGAUAGCGAACAAGUACCGUGAGGGAAAGAUGAAAAGAACUUUGAAAAGAGAGUUAAACAGUACGUGAAAUUGUCAAAAGGGAAGCGUUUGACACCAGUGUUGUUUUUCUGAAAAUCAAUUAAAGAACUGUUUAUGCUAAGUUGUUUAGACUUUAUCAGCUAACUGUUUAGUUUUGAGCUUUUCUUUAAUGCACUUUUCAGUUAACAAGUCAACAUCAAUUUCUUUUGCUGUAAAAAAGCUUGAGGAAGGUGGCUUGAGAUUCGUCUUAAGUGUUUAUAGCCUCUUGCCUAUGCAGUCGGAGAGAUUGAGGUCUGCAGCGUAGAUCCUUCGGGGCUAAAUGCAUUUGUGCUAAGUUAUAGCAUUUUAUAGACAACUUGUUGACUAUGAUCUGUCUUGUAGCUUACUCGCUUAUGUUAUUUUACCUACGCU
This 1385-nucleotide unclassified non-coding RNA is filed under the name uncultured Neocallimastigales. RNAcentral's name for it is "partial contains small subunit ribosomal RNA, internal transcribed spacer 1, 5.8S ribosomal RNA, internal transcribed spacer 2, and large subunit ribosomal RNA". The stretch from base 618 to 1385 matches the Rfam family "Eukaryotic large subunit ribosomal RNA", at positions 1 to 626 of the family's 3401-position model. Lineage: Eukaryota; Fungi; Neocallimastigomycota; Neocallimastigomycetes; Neocallimastigales. The record is from RNAcentral.